Molecule: ribosomal RNA, 460 nt
Filed under: uncultured bacterium
Lineage: Bacteria
Description: partial 16S ribosomal RNA
Rfam family: Bacterial small subunit ribosomal RNA
Source: RNAcentral
CCUACGGGGGGCAGCAGUGAGGAAUAUUGGUCAAUGGCCGGAAGGCUGAACCAGCCAUGCCGCGUGAAGGUCAGUGCCCUAUGGGCGUUAAACUUCUUUUGUGCGGGAGCAAUAAUGGUCACGUGUGGCCAGACGAGAGUACCGUACGAAUAAGCAUCGGCUAACUCCGUGCCAGCAGCCGCGGUAAUACGGGGGAUGCAAGCGUUAUCCGGAUUUAUUGGGUUUAAAGGGUGCGUAGGCUGUGAGGUAAGUCAGCGGUGAAAUGCCCCCGCUCAACGGGGUGAAGUGCCAUUGAUACUGCCUGGCUGGAAUGCGGAUGCGGUGGGAGGAAUGUGUGGUGUAGCGGUGAAAUGCAUAGAUAUCACACAGAACACCGAUUGCGAAGGCAUCUCACGAAUCCGCGAUUGACGCUGAUGCACGAAAGCGUGGGUAUCAAACAGGAUUAGAUACCCGGGUAGUC